This is a long non-coding RNA of Mastomys coucha (southern multimammate mouse), 940 nucleotides long. RefSeq lists it as uncharacterized. Lineage: Eukaryota; Metazoa; Chordata; Mammalia; Rodentia; Muridae. The record is from RefSeq and is a predicted model, not a curated record. The transcript is spliced from 4 exons.
UACUAUAAAGGACGUAGCGUGGAACGGCUCGGCCUCUCGGCGGCCAUGGCGCCACUGUUUCCGUUGGGGCGCCGCGGAUGACCCUAUAUAGCCCUCGGCCGGCUACCGGGAAGACUGAGACGAUCGUAACAAAGAUGCACGGUGCUUUCCUUCUGAGAGUUUAGUCGCCCUAAUACGUGCAGCAGACUAACCAUGUGGAAGUUUGUCUGCCAAAACGCAAGCGCCCAUGAGGACAUUAGGUAAGCUGUAACGUCAGGAUUAACGGCGUGGGUACCCGGCACUUGGUUCAUCAGCACUCUGCUCCUAGAGGCGUUGCAGGUGUGGCUGCUGUGUCACAUGUGCGUCAGUAGGUGGCAGAGAGGAAAGAGGCUAUGUCUACGCUCAGUGUUCUGCCCUGUGGACAUCUGAAUGAUUUGUAGCCUAACACUCCUUAAAGCUGGAGGAAAGUUGGUGACUAAACUCUGCUUAUGCCGAAUGCCCAGUUGAGAUCCAGAAGCCAGGAAGAAAGGGGCCAACGUUGCUGAUCAGGAUGGGCGUGCCCUCUGACCUCACCAGGGUAAUACAGAACCACCCAUACAGGCUGUGGGCAGCUCUAAAUUUCCCCUGGUAGCUAGCCUACGUCCUAAGUUAUGGACUGGAUUUGGGUUGGCUUGGGUUUGACUCUUAUUGUGAAGUGAGGUAGAGACACUGGGGUGCAGGACCCUCUAAGAUUCAACAUCUUUAACUGUACAUGGCCUUAAAAGAGAUAAUUAUGAGUUGGGUGAUGGUAACUGGUCGCUUGAGUUCAAGACCAGCCUGUUCUACAAAGCAAGUUCCAGGGUAGUCAGGACUGCUACACAAAGAAAACCCUGUCUUGAAAGGCUAAAAAAGGGUGGAGAAUGAUACAGGAGAGGGAAACUGGCUAGAUGCUGUGACACAAAUAAACUUGUCGGUUCUUGAG